RNAcentral lists this ribosomal RNA (435 nucleotides) under uncultured Flavobacterium sp. Its description in RNAcentral is "bacterial SSU rRNA". It matches the Rfam family "Bacterial small subunit ribosomal RNA", at positions 358 to 790 of the family's 1533-position model. Lineage: Bacteria; Pseudomonadati; Bacteroidota; Flavobacteriia; Flavobacteriales; Flavobacteriaceae. The record is from RNAcentral.
GGAAUAUUGGACAAUGGGCGCAAGCCUGAUCCAGCCAUGCCGCGUGCAGGAUGACGGUCCUAUGGAUUGUAAACUGCUUUUAUACAGGAAGAAACAGUUCUACGUGUAGAACCUUGACGGUACUGUAAGAAUAAGGAUCGGCUAACUCCGUGCCAGCAGCCGCGGUAAUACGGAGGAUCCAAGCGUUAUCCGGAAUCAUUGGGUUUAAAGGGUCCGUAGGCGGUCAGAUAAGUCAGUGGUGAAAGCCCAUCGCUCAACGGUGGAACGGCCAUUGAUACUGUCUGACUUGAAUUAUUAGGAAGUAACUAGAAUAUGUAGUGUAGCGGUGAAAUGCUUAGAGAUUACAUGGAAUACCAAUUGCGAAGGCAGGUUACUACUAAUUGAUUGACGCUGAUGGACGAAAGCGUGGGUAGCGAACAGGAUUAGAUACCCCAG